RNAcentral lists this ribosomal RNA (520 nucleotides) under uncultured Glomus. RNAcentral describes it as "SSU rRNA". It matches the Rfam family "Eukaryotic small subunit ribosomal RNA", at positions 569 to 1092 of the family's 1831-position model. Lineage: Eukaryota; Fungi; Glomeromycota; Glomeromycetes; Glomerales; Glomeraceae. The record is from RNAcentral.
AGCAGCCGCGGUAAUUCCAGCUCCAAUAGCGUAUAUUAAAGUUGUUGCAGUUAAAAAGCUCGUAGUUGAAUUUCGGGAUCAAUACGUCGGUCGUGCUUCGGUACGUACUGGCGUAAUUGAUUUCUCCCUUCUGACGAACCAUGAUGUCAUUAACUUGGUGUCAUGGGAAAUCAGGACUGUUACUUUGAAAAAAUUAGAGUGUUUAAAGCAGGCUCACGCUUGAAUACAUUAGCAUGGAAUAAUGAAAUAGGACGUUCGAUCCUAUUUUGUUGGUUUUUAGGAUCAACGUAAUGAUUAAUAGGGAUAGUUGGGGGCAUUAGUAUUCAAUUGUCAGAGGUGAAAUUCUUGGAUUUAUUGAAGACUAACUACUGCGAAAGCAUUUGCCAAGGAUGUUUUCAUUAAUCAAGAACGAAAGUUAGGGGAUCGAAGACGAUCAGAUACCGUCGUAGUCUUAACCAUAAACUAUGCCGACUAGGGAUCGGAUGGUGUUAAUUUUUAAUGACUCAUUCGGCGCCUUACG